CCCGGGUGGCAGCAGUGAGGAAUAUUGGUCAAUGGGCGUAAGCCUGAACCAGCCAAGUCGCGUGAGGGAUGAAGGUUCUAUGGAUCGUAAACCUCUUUUAUAAGGGAAUAAAGUGUGGGACGUGUCCUGUUUUGUAUGUACCUUAUGAAUAAGGAUCGGCUAACUCCGUUCCAGCCGCCGCGGUAAUACGGAGGAUCCGAGCGUUAUCCGGAUUUAUUGGGUUUAAAGGUUGCGUAGGCGGCCUUUUAAGUCAGCGGUGAAAGUCUGUGGCUCAACCAUAGAAUUGCCGUUGAAACUGGGAGGCUUGAGUAUGUUUGAGGCAGGCGGAAUGCGUGGGGUAGCGGUGAAAUGCUUAGAUAUCACGCAGAACCCCGAUUGCGAAGGCAGCCUGCCAAGCCAUGACUGACGCUGAUGCACGAAAGCGUGGGGAUCAAACAGGAUUAGAUACCCUUGUAGUC
Molecule: ribosomal RNA, 458 nt
Filed under: uncultured bacterium
Lineage: Bacteria
Description: partial 16S ribosomal RNA
Rfam family: Bacterial small subunit ribosomal RNA
Source: RNAcentral